UACGAGGGGGGCAAAUGUUGUUCGGAAUCACUGGGCGUAAAGGGAGCGUAGGCGGGUUUCUAAGUCAGGUGUUUAAUCCCGGGGCCCAACCCCGGACAGGCACUUGAAACUGGGAAUCUUGAAUAGGGGAGAGGUCAGUGGAAUUGGAGGUGUAGCGGUGGAAUGCGUAGAGAUCUCCAAGAACACCAGUGGCGAAGGCGGCUCACUGGCCCGAUACUGACGCUGAGGCACGAAAGCGUGGGGAGCAAACAGG
Molecule: ribosomal RNA, 253 nt
Filed under: uncultured bacterium
Lineage: Bacteria
Description: partial 16S ribosomal RNA
Rfam family: Bacterial small subunit ribosomal RNA
Source: RNAcentral